AUAGAGGCGUUUUUAAACGCCACUCUUUGAAAUAAUGGUGUUUCGU
Corchorus capsularis is the source of this 46-nucleotide non-coding RNA. Lineage: Eukaryota; Viridiplantae; Streptophyta; Magnoliopsida; Malvales; Malvaceae. The record is from Rfam.